GCUGGCGGCACGCCUAACACAUGCAAGUCGAACGAGGUAGCAAUACUUAGUGGCAGACGGGUGAGUAACAUGUAGGUAUCUGCCCUUUGGCCUGGAAUAACACGAGGAAACUUGUGCUAAUACCGGAUAAGUCUUUACGGAGAAAGCUUUAUGCACCAUUGGAUGAGCCUGCACUUGAUUAGUUUGUUGGUGGGGUAAUGGCCUACCAAGACUUUGAUCAAUAGCUGAUUUGAGAGGAUGAUCAGCCACAUUGGGACUGAGACACGGCCCAAACUCCUACGGGAGGCAGCAGUGGGGAAUCUUGCACAAUGGAGGAAACUCUGAUGCAGCGAUGCCGCGUGAGUGAAGAAGGCCCUUGGGUUGUAAAGCUCUUUCGUCGGGGAAGAAAAUGACUGUACCCGAAUAAGAAGGUCCGGCUAACUUCGUGCCAGCAGCCGCGGUAAUACGAAGGGACCUAGCGUAGUUCGGAAUUACUGGGCUUAAAGAGUUCGUAGGUGGUUGAAAUAGUUGGUGGUGAAAUCCCAGAGCUUAACUCUGGAACUGCCAUCAAAACUUUUCAGCUAGAGUAUGAUAGAGGAAAGCAGAAUUUCUAGUGUAGAGGUGAAAUUCGUAGAUAUUAGAAAGAAUACCAAUUGCGAAGGCAGCUUUCUGGAUCAUUACUGACACUGAGGAACGAAAGCAUGGGUAGCGAAGAGGAUUAGAUACCCUCGUAGUCCAUGCCGUAAACGAUGUGUGUUAGACGUUGGAAAUUUAUUUUCAGUGUCGCAGCGAAAGCGAUAAACACACCGCCUGGGGAGUACG
This 801-nucleotide ribosomal RNA is filed under the name uncultured Pelagibacteraceae bacterium. RNAcentral describes it as "bacterial SSU rRNA". It matches the Rfam family "Bacterial small subunit ribosomal RNA", at positions 35 to 884 of the family's 1533-position model. Lineage: Bacteria; Pseudomonadati; Pseudomonadota; Alphaproteobacteria; Candidatus Pelagibacterales; Candidatus Pelagibacteraceae. The record is from RNAcentral.